GGAGGGUUAGCUCAGUUGGUAGAGCAAGAGACUCUUAAUCUCUUGGUCCAGGGUUCGAAUCCCUGACCCUUCACCA
Molecule: transfer RNA, 76 nt
Filed under: Silvanigrella aquatica
Lineage: Bacteria; Pseudomonadati; Bdellovibrionota; Oligoflexia; Silvanigrellales; Silvanigrellaceae
Description: tRNA-Lys
Rfam family: tRNA
About the family: Transfer RNA (tRNA) molecules are approximately 80 nucleotides in length. Their secondary structure includes four short double-helical elements and three loops (D, anti-codon, and T loops).
Source: RNAcentral